UGGCGAACGGGUGAGUAACACGUGAGCAACCUGCCUUACACAGGGGGAUAGCCAUUGGAAACGGUGAUUAAUACCCCAUAAAGACCACAAUACCGCAUGGUAAAAGGGUAAAAGGGAUACCGGUGUAAGAUGGGCUCGCGUCUGAUUAGCUAGUUGGUGGGGUAAAGGCCUACCCAAGGCGACGAUCAGUAGCCGGUCUGAGAGGAUGAACGGCCACAUUGGAACUGAGACACGGUCCAAACUCCUACGGGAGGCAGCAGUGGGGAAUAUUGCACAAUGGGGGAAACCCUGAUGCAGCGACGCCGCGUGAGCGAAGAAGGCUUUCGAGUCGUAAAGCUCUGUCCUAUGAGAAGAUAAUGACGGUAUCAUAGGAGGAAGCCCUGGCUAAAUACGUGCCAGCAGCCGCGGUAAU
RNAcentral lists this ribosomal RNA (412 nucleotides) under uncultured bacterium. Its description in RNAcentral is "bacterial SSU rRNA". It matches the Rfam family "Bacterial small subunit ribosomal RNA", at positions 96 to 524 of the family's 1533-position model. The record is from RNAcentral.